UACAGAGGUGCCAAGCGUUAGGCGGAAUCACUGGGCUUAAAGCGCGCGUAGGCGGAUGUUUAAGUGUCUUGUGAAAUCCCACGGCUCAACCGUGGAACUGCUGGGCAUACUGGACAUCUCGAGGCACUCAGGGGCGAGCGGAACAAGUGGUGGAGCGGUGAAAUGCGUAGAUAUCAGGAAGAACACCCGUGGCGAAGGCGGUUCUCUGGGACGGUACUGACGCUGAGACGCGAAAGCGUGGGGAGCGAACAGG
RNAcentral lists this ribosomal RNA (253 nucleotides) under uncultured bacterium. RNAcentral's name for it is "partial 16S ribosomal RNA". It matches the Rfam family "Bacterial small subunit ribosomal RNA", at positions 524 to 776 of the family's 1533-position model. The record is from RNAcentral.